RNAcentral lists this long non-coding RNA (2133 nucleotides) under Sus scrofa (pig). RNAcentral describes it as "lncRNA (ENSSSCG00045008273.1)". Lineage: Eukaryota; Metazoa; Chordata; Mammalia; Artiodactyla; Suidae. The record is from RNAcentral.
UAUACACAAUGGAAUAUUACUCAGCCAUCAAAAAGAACGAAAUACCAGAAUUUUUAGCAACAUGGAUGGACCUAGAAACUAUCAUGCUAAGUGAAGUCAGCCAUACAAUGAGAUACCAACAUCAAAUGCUUUCACUGACAUGUGGAAUCUGAAAAAAGGACAGACGGAACUUCCUUGCAGAACAGAUGCUGACUCACAGACACUGAAAAAUGUAUGGUCUCCGGAGGAGACAGUUUGAGGGGUGGGGGGAUGUGCUUGGGCUGUGGGAUGGAAAUCCUGUGAAAUCAGAUUAUUAUGAUCAUUAUACAACUACAGAUGUGAUAAAUUCAUUUGAGUAAUAAAAAAAUGAAAGAAAAAAAAAGGAUACUUAAGUGCAGCAUUGUUUGUGAUAGUGGUUUUGGAAUCAACAGGACAAUCCAUGAGACAGUGGCAGGAUCAAUAGGGUAUAUUCAAACAAGUGAAUAAGAGGCAAUUGAUGAUAAGAACAAGGAAGUUCUUUGUGUAUGAAGAGAAAGGUCCCUAAGAUCUACUGUUAAGUGAAAAAGGCAAGGUGCAGAACAGAGUUUAUUAGGUAUCAUUCACUGAGUGACUCCUUUAAAAUUUUUAUUUCUGUGUCAAAAUCAGAGUAAAGGGCAAGAAAUUUUGUUUCCAAAGGGCCAGAGGGGACAAAUUAUAACCAGAUCUUCUUAAGGGGUAAGGCCUAAUCUUUGCCAAGACAGUCAGCCUAAGGACUGAAGGCAGAGUCAGGUUUUGUCGGAAGUGAGAGGGCCUUCAUUAAGAAAAAAUGUAAAAUUAAAAAUAUAAACUUUGACAUAGCAGUUCCCUGGGGGUGUAGCAGGUUAAGGAUCUGGCGUUGUCACUGUUGUGGUUUGGGUCACAGCUGCAGUGUGACUAUGAAGUUCCUGAUCCCCAAACUUCUGCAUGCUCUGGGUGUGACCAAAAAUAAAAUAAAAUAAAAAACCUGGCACAAAUGUGAAUAUUUAUUCAAAAUGAGAAAGUAGAGUUCCCACUGUGGCUCAGUGUGGGUAUCCACGAGGAUGGAAGUUCCAUCCCUGCCCCUGCUCAGGGGGUUAAGGAUCUGGCAUUGCCAUGAGCUGUAGUAUAGGCUGCAGAUGAGAGUCAGAUCUGAUGUUGCUGUGGCUGUGGCAUAGGCUGGCAGCUGCACCUCCGAUUUGACCCCUACCCUGGGAACUUCAGGGAUAGCCCUGAAAGCACUAAAUAAAUAAAUAAUAAAAAAUAAACAAAUGGGACCUAAUCAAACUUAUAAGCUUUUGCACAGCAAAGAAAACCAUAAAUAAGGAGUUCCCGUCGUGGCGCAGUGGUUAACGAAUCCGACUAGGAACCAUGAGGUUGCGGGUUCGGUCCCUGCCCUUGCUCAGUGGGUUAACGAUCCGGCGUUGCCGGGAGCUGUGGUGUAGGUUGCAGACGCGGCUCGGAUCCCGCGUUGCUGUGGCUCUGGCGUAGGCUGGUGGCUACAGCUCUGAUUCAACCCUUAGCCUGGGAACCUCCAUAUGCCGCGGGAGCGGCCCAAGAAAUAGCAACAAUAACAACAAAAGACAAAAGACAAAAAAAAAAAAAAAAAAAAAAAAAAAAAAAAAGAAAACCAUAAAUAAGAAAAAGACAACCUAGAGAACUGGAGAAAAUAUUUGCAAACAAUGCAACCAACCAGGGCUUAAUUUCCAGAAUAAACAAACAGCUCAUACAAUUCAGUAUUAGAAAAACAAACAACCAAAUUGAAAAAUGGGCAGAAGAGCUAAAUAGACAUUUUUCCAAAGAAGACAGAUGGCCAAAAGGCACAUGAAAAGAUGCUAUAUCAUUAAUCAUUAAUUAUUUGAGAAAUGCAAAUCAAAACUUCACAAGGAAUAACUUCACACGGGUCAGAAGGGCCAUCAUUAAAAAAUCUACAAAUGGAGUUCCCACCAUGGCGCAGUGGGUUAAGAAACUCCAACUGCAACGUCUUGGGUCACUGCUGAGGUAUGCGUUCAAUCCCUAGCCCAGUACUUUGAGUUAAAGGAUCCGGUAUUGCCACAGCUGUGGCACAGGUUGCAGCCACAGCUCAGAUUCAAUUCCUGGCCUGGGAAUUCCAUAUGUCGCAGUGUGGCCAUUAAAAAAAAAAAAAAAAAAAAAAAAAAA